GGAAUAUUGCACAAUGGGCGCAAGCCUGAUGCAGCCAUGCCGCGUGUAUGAAGAAGGCCUUCGGGUUGUAAAGUACUUUCAGCGGGGAGGAAGGCGAUGGGGUUAAUAACCCUGUCGAUUGACGUUACCCGCAGAAGAAGCACCGGCUAACUCCGUGCCAGCAGCCGCGGUAAUACGGAGGGUGCAAGCGUUAAUCGGAAUUACUGGGCGUAAAGCGCACGCAGGCGGUCUGUUAAGUCAGAUGUGAAAUCCCCGGGCUUAACCUGGGAACUGCAUUUGAAACUGGCAGGCUUGAGUCUUGUAGAGGGGGGUAGAAUUCCAGGUGUAGCGGUGAAAUGCGUAGAGAUCUGGAGGAAUACCGGUGGCGAAGGCGGCCCCCUGGACAAAGACUGACGCUCAGGUGCGAAAGCGUGGGGAGCAAACAGGAUUAGAUACCCCAG
RNAcentral lists this ribosomal RNA (440 nucleotides) under uncultured Pantoea sp. RNAcentral's name for it is "bacterial SSU rRNA". It matches the Rfam family "Bacterial small subunit ribosomal RNA", at positions 358 to 790 of the family's 1533-position model. The record is from RNAcentral. Lineage: Bacteria; Pseudomonadati; Pseudomonadota; Gammaproteobacteria; Enterobacterales; Erwiniaceae.